This 68-nucleotide ribosomal RNA is filed under the name Eleutherocaulis alte. RNAcentral's name for it is "partial 5.8S ribosomal RNA". Lineage: Eukaryota; Metazoa; Mollusca; Gastropoda; Systellommatophora; Veronicellidae. The record is from RNAcentral.
CAUCGACACCUUGACGCAUAUGGCGGCCUCGGGUCCAUCCCGUGGCCACGCCCGUCUGAGGGUCGGCG